RNAcentral lists this transfer RNA (53 nucleotides) under Rhabdias kafunata. RNAcentral's name for it is "tRNA-Ser". Lineage: Eukaryota; Metazoa; Nematoda; Chromadorea; Rhabditida; Rhabdiasidae. The record is from RNAcentral.
GACAAGUUUUAGGUAAGUCUUCUAAAUUUACUAUAGGUUAUUCCUGCUUGUUU